GGAAACGACUUCGUUCUUUGUCGAAAAUUUCUUCUUCCUUCUCGACUCGACGCUCAGCUCUCUCAGCCAGCCAGCCACGCCAGUUCAGCCUCUAACUCUCUCUCUCUCUCUCUCUCUCUCUCUCUCUCUCAUUUCGAUACCUCAGUUUUAGCCUCUCAAUCUCCAAUCUUGGCGUUAACCACUUCGAAUCUUGAAGUGGGUGUUCACUGUCAUCUCAGUCUCAGAUAAACCUCCUCUUCCUCAACCUACUCGGUCUAUGGUAAAGGAGAUUUCAUUAUGGGAAUUCCAAGCCUCCGCAUUUACAGAGUGUGCAUUUACACGCAUUUUGCAAAGUCUGGGACAUUCAAAUAAUCUUAUGACGGUAGGUAGAAACCUCAAACCUUUUUAUGCAGUGAGUAGAUAAGGAUUAUUGCUCUGCAAAACAUGGGAGGGGGGGAAAUACGUUUCCAAGUUUGAGGGCCAUGGUGGGUUUUCGACGGUUUCAUCCUAUUUCAAUAGAACGUGCCAGAAGAAACUGAUAAGAUGAGCAACUGCUCUGGAGUUGGGGUUUUAGGGGGUGUUAAUUCGAAAACGACUUCGUUCUUUGUCGAAAAUUUCUUCUUCCUUCUCGACUCGACGCUCAGCUCUCUCAGCCAGCCACCCACGUCAGUCUUAGCCUCUCAAUCUCCAAUCUUGGCGUCAACCCCUUCGAAUCUUGAAGCGGGUGUUCGCUGUCAUCUCAGUCUCAGAUAAACCUUCUCUUCCUCAACCUACCCGUGCUGUCCCUGCAGCUCCCUCUGCUGCUCCUGAGCAAGAGAAGGGGAAGGAAGAAUAUAAGGAUGUUAGUUUUAAUCAAUUGAGUAAAGGUAUCACUGAGCCAAUUUCAUUUGGGCAGCAGAAGUUAGCAUCCAUGGCAUCUGGUGGUGGUCGAGUAAUUGGAGUUGCGGUAUUGUUCCGCUCCUCCCCACCAUAUUCUUUUGAAUGAAACUUUAUGCAUUUUUUAUUCUUUUAAUUUUUUCAAUGGUAACAAUUAAGAAAUAAAUAAAGGACAUGUCAGCAUUUUUACUAUUUCUUAUUAAGAUAUACAUUUAUUAUUUAUUGUGUUACCCUUGAUGGAGAUGCCAUCCAUCCUUCAUAAAGUCCAACCAACGAAUUCUCGGCGCUUCCUAAGUGCUCCUGACAGGAAGCUUAUGCUUGAGAAGUUCUGAAGGCCACGAUCUCUCAUGCCUGUCAUGGACUCACCUCAAUUAUUGUAUAAGGGGAUUCUAAAUCCUUAACCAAUGUGAUACUCCCUGGCGUCGAUUGGCAGGAUUGUUUGAGAGAUUUAAUCAGACGCAUGUUCAGAGAAGCAAACUUUUUGGUGGUAUUGGUCAUCAAAAUUAUAAAUAUAUGUAAACAUUGUAAUUGUUUAAGUUGACCUAGCACAACAAUCCAAGUUUCACCACUCUCUCUCUCUCUCUCUCUCUCUUAAUUUUUGUUUACCCGUUUUGAUGUAAUUCCUGUUGUGGUAGGGUAAAGUUCCCCAUUGACCUAAAAA
This is a long non-coding RNA of Prunus avium (sweet cherry), 1516 nucleotides long. RefSeq lists it as uncharacterized. The record is from RefSeq and is a predicted model, not a curated record. NCBI's taxonomy places the organism in Eukaryota, Viridiplantae, Streptophyta, Magnoliopsida, Rosales, Rosaceae.